This is a long non-coding RNA of Sinocyclocheilus rhinocerous, 215 nucleotides long. RefSeq lists it as uncharacterized. NCBI's taxonomy places the organism in Eukaryota, Metazoa, Chordata, Actinopteri, Cypriniformes, Cyprinidae. The record is from RefSeq and is a predicted model, not a curated record. The transcript is spliced from 4 exons.
CCCAAACAUUAAAGAGAAGUGACUUUUGGUCUUUGGCCUUUGAUGAGUUAGAGGCAACGAUUGCUAAUCAGUGCUUUCAGCUCAUCGCUGCACUUGCAGCUUCACAGGGCAAAGAUGUGUUUGCUGUCAACAGUUAUGUGGUGGUCACGUGGUUGCCUCCAUAUAACAAUGAUCCUCGGCCAGCUUUACCUGAUGAUGCUGCAACCAAGGACUUC